UACGGGGGGGGCAAGCGUUGUUCGGAAUUACUGGGCGUAAAGGGCUCGUAGGCGGCCAACUAAGUCAGACGUGAAAUCCCCAGGCUUAACCUGGGAACUGCGUCUGAUACUGGAUGGCUUGAGAUUGGGAGAGGGAUGCGGAAUUCCAGGUGUAGCGGUGAAAUGCGUAGAUAUCUGGAGGAACACCGGUGGCGACGGCGACAUCCUGGACCAACACUGACGCUGAGGAGCGAAAGCCAGGGGAGCAAACGGG
RNAcentral lists this ribosomal RNA (253 nucleotides) under uncultured bacterium. RNAcentral describes it as "partial 16S ribosomal RNA". It matches the Rfam family "Bacterial small subunit ribosomal RNA", at positions 524 to 776 of the family's 1533-position model. The record is from RNAcentral.